UACGUAGGGUGCGAGCGUUUGUCCGGAAUUAUUGGGCGUAAAGAGCUCGUAGGCGGUUUGUCGCGUCUGCUGUGAAAACCCGAGGCUCAACCUCGGGCCGCAGUGGGUACGGGCAGACUAGAGUGCGGUAGGGGAGAUUGGAAUUCCUGGUGUAGCGGUGGAAUGCGCAGAUAUCAGGAGGAACACCAAUGGCGAAGGCAGAUCUCUGGGCCGUAACUGACGCUGAGGAGCGAAAGCAUGGGGAGCGAACAGG
Molecule: ribosomal RNA, 253 nt
Filed under: uncultured bacterium
Lineage: Bacteria
Description: partial 16S ribosomal RNA
Rfam family: Bacterial small subunit ribosomal RNA
Source: RNAcentral